Epinephelus fuscoguttatus (brown-marbled grouper) is the source of this 765-nucleotide long non-coding RNA. RefSeq lists it as uncharacterized. The record is from RefSeq and is a predicted model, not a curated record. The transcript is spliced from 7 exons. Lineage: Eukaryota; Metazoa; Chordata; Actinopteri; Perciformes; Serranidae.
UGAAUCUCUCCGGUUCAGGCUCCGGGACGAGAAGAGGGGCCGACUCCAGGCCGGCCACACUACCCGACAGCCCGGAGCCUGCCACGCUGCCGUAGCCGGUGUCUGCUCCUGCGUUCAGAGGCAUCCUGCCCGGCUGCAGUGUUCCCAGCUGAGCUGUGCCGUCUUGAGUUAAAUAUUGAGUGAUCUGACUGGUCAGGAGUGAGGAGUGUCCCCCAGGCAAAGAGAGUUGAGUACCCUGCACUAUAUUUCCAGUGUGUUCUGUACAAAUCUAUUUCCUGCACGAGAACAACUUCUAAAUCACACGGUGACAUCACACAUCACACGUCCUCUCUAAAGAGACACAGGGGUCCACAUUUAAUGAGUCUUACUUGCUGGUGAUGCCUCCUCCUGGUGGGAGCCCAGGCAUCUCCUCUGCAGCCAGGAAUUUGAUCACGUACAAAAGGUCAGGGUCUUCAUCUCUGGACCUCAUCAUCUGGAUUAUUUCUGUGACAGCUCUGCCUCCUGCUGCAGUGCCUCCUGUGACACCUGGGGGGCGCCGGGGAAGCAGACGAUGAUGAUGCUCAUGUUGUCCAAGCUGCCCUGCAGAGGGAGACAGACAUGUUAGAGAGGAAGCACUGCCACUGCACAGGUAGACAGUGGUGGCAGAUUCAGCAAAAGCAACAUACAGAUGUGCUCCAGCAGGUUUCUGGAGCAGUACUGUGCCACAGUGGUGCCUGCAUGUCCAUCAAAAACAGCAAAGUACCCCCAAUCCUUCAGGUCUCCUGU